CCCAGCUUGGUGUAGUGGUAGCACAUCUGUUACCUGGCUUGGAGGUACCGCACAUACGGGGUGCUCUCGGUCAGGGGCGGAAGACCCGAGUUCGAUUCCUGGAGCUGGGA
Pestalotiopsis sp. NC0098 is the source of this 110-nucleotide non-coding RNA. Lineage: Eukaryota; Fungi; Ascomycota; Sordariomycetes; Amphisphaeriales; Sporocadaceae. The record is from the annotation of a GenBank genome assembly.